RNAcentral lists this ribosomal RNA (346 nucleotides) under uncultured bacterium. RNAcentral's name for it is "partial 16S ribosomal RNA". It matches the Rfam family "Bacterial small subunit ribosomal RNA", at positions 338 to 681 of the family's 1533-position model. The record is from RNAcentral.
CCUACGGGGGGCAGCAGUGAGGAAUAUUGGUCAAUGGGCGAGAGCCUGAACCAGCCAAGUAGCGUGAAGGAUGACGGCCCUACGGGUUGUAAACUUCUUUUAUAAAGGAAUAAAGUGAGGCACGUGUGCCUUUUUGUAUGUACGUUAUGAAUAAGGAUAGGCUAACUCCGUGCCAGCAGCCGCGGUUAGACGUAGGAUCCGAGCGUUAUCCGGAUUUAUUGGGUUUAAAGGGAGCGUAGAGGGGUUGUUAAGUCAGUUGUGAAAGUUUGCGGCUCCACCGUAAAAUUGCAAUUGAUACUGGCAGUCUUGAGUACAGUUGCGGUAGGCGGAAUUCGUUGUGUAGCGG